CCUACGGGCGGCUGCAGUGGGGAAUCUUGGACAAUGGGCGCAAGCCUGAUCCAGCCAUGCCGCGUGAGUGAUGAAGGCCUUAGGGUUGUAAAGCUCUUUUGUCGGGGACGAUAAUGACGGUACCCGAAGAAUAAGCUCCGGCUAACUUCGUGCCAGCAGCCGCGGUAAUACGAAGGGAGCUAGCGUUGUUCGGAAUCACUGGGCGUAAAGCGCACGUAGGCGGAUUUGUUAGUGAGGGGUGAAAUCCCGGGGCUCAACCUCGGAACUGCCUUUCAUACUGCAGAUCUCGAGUCCGAUAGAGGUGGGUGGAAUUCCUAGUGUAGAGGUGAAAUUCGUAGAUAUUAGGAAGAACACCGGUGGCGAAGGCGGCCCACUGGAUCGGUACUGACGCUGAGGUGCGAAAGCGUGGGGAGCAAACAGGAUUAGAUACCCCGGUAGUC
Molecule: ribosomal RNA, 440 nt
Filed under: Weissella confusa
Lineage: Bacteria; Bacillati; Bacillota; Bacilli; Lactobacillales; Lactobacillaceae
Description: bacterial SSU rRNA
Rfam family: Bacterial small subunit ribosomal RNA
Source: RNAcentral